Molecule: ribosomal RNA, 468 nt
Filed under: uncultured bacterium
Lineage: Bacteria
Description: bacterial SSU rRNA
Rfam family: Bacterial small subunit ribosomal RNA
Source: RNAcentral
UUCCAGACUCCUACGGGAGGCAGCAGUGAGGAAUAUUGGUCAAUGGGAGGAGUCCUGAACCAGCCAUGCCGCGUGCAGGACGACGGCUCUACGAGUUGUAAACUGCUUUUGUACCGGGGUAAAAUGCCUUACGAGUAGGGUUUUGAAAGUACGGUACGAAUAAGGAUCGGCUAACUCCGUGCCAGCAGCCGCGGUAAUACGGAGGAUGCGAGCGUUAUCCGGAUUUAUUGGGUUUAAAGGGUGCGCAGGCGGCCUGUUAAGUCCGGGGUAAAAGCACGGGGCUCAACCCCGGCGAGCCGUUGAAACUGGCGGGCUGGAGUUGGAGAGAAGUACGCGGAAUGCGCGGUGUAGCGGUGAAAUGCUUAGAUAUCGCGCAGAACCCCGAUUGCGAAGGCAGCGUACCGGCUCCACACUGACGCUGAGGCACGAAAGCGUGGGUAUCGAACAGGAUUAGAUACCCCUGUACGA